GAUGAACGCUGGCGGCGUGCCUAAUACAUGCAAGUCGAGCGAAUGGAUUAAGAGCUUGCUCUUAUGAAGUUAGCGGCGGACGGGUGAGUAACACGUGGGUAACCUGCCCAUCAGACUGGGAUAACUUCGGGAAACCUGGGCUAAUACCGGAUAACAUUUUGAACCGCAUGGUUCGCAAUGGAAAGGCGGCUUCGGCUGUCACUUAGGGAUGGACCCACGUCGCAUUAGCGAGUUGGUGAGGUAACGGCUCACCAAGGCAACGAUGCGUAGCCGACCUGAGAGGGGGAUCGGCCACACUGGGACUGAGACACGGCCCAGACUCCUACGGGAGGCAGCAGUAGGGAAUCUUCCGCAAUGGACGAAAGUCUGACGGAGCAACGCCGCGUGAGUGAUGAAGGCUUUCGGGUCGUAAAACUCUGUUGUUAGGGAAGAACAAGUGCUAGUUGAAUAAGCUGGCACCUUGACGGUACCUAACCAGAAAGCCACGGCUAACUACGUGCCAGCAGCCGCCGUAA
Molecule: ribosomal RNA, 515 nt
Filed under: uncultured bacterium
Lineage: Bacteria
Description: partial 16S ribosomal RNA
Rfam family: Bacterial small subunit ribosomal RNA
Source: RNAcentral